RNAcentral lists this unclassified non-coding RNA (520 nucleotides) under uncultured Glomus. Its description in RNAcentral is "SSU rRNA". It matches the Rfam family "Eukaryotic small subunit ribosomal RNA", at positions 569 to 1093 of the family's 1831-position model. Lineage: Eukaryota; Fungi; Glomeromycota; Glomeromycetes; Glomerales; Glomeraceae. The record is from RNAcentral.
AGCAGCCGCGGUAAUUCCAGCUCCAAUAGCGUAUAUUAAAGUUGUUGCAGUUAAAAGCUCGUAGUUGAAUUUCGGGAUCAGUUGGUCGGUCGUGCCUCGGUACGUACUGGUCAAAUUGAUUCCUACCUUCUGACGAACCACGAUGUCAUUAAUUUGGUGUCGCGGGAAAUCAGGACUGUUACUUUGAAAAAUUAGAGUGUUUAAAGCAGGCUCGCGCUUGAAUACAUUAGCAUGGAAUAAUGAAAUAGGACGUUUGAUUCUAUUUUGUUGGUUUCUAGGAUCGACGUAAUGAUUAAUAGGGAUAGUUGGGGGCAUUAGUAUUCAAUUGUCAGAGGUGAAAUUCUUGGAUUUAUUGAAGACUAACUACUGCGAAAGCAUUUGCCAAGGAUGUUUUCAUUAAUCAAGAACGAAAGUUAGGGAUCGAAGACGAUCAGAUACCGUCGUAGUCUUAACCAUAAACUAUGCCGACUAGGGAUCGGAUGAUGUUAAUUUUUUAAUGUACUCAUUCGGCGCCUUACGG